UAUGGUUUUGGUCCCUUUGAAGCUAACUAGCUAAAAGGCUUGAUAUAUAGAAGUAUGGAAGAAUCUGUUAAGCUCAGGAGGGAUAGCGCCCUAAGGAUAGCCAUGGGCUCUUUUUAUUUGGUUUUUGACUAUCAGUGGCGCUAUCCAUCCUGAGUUUUACUGGUUCUUCUUGCUACGAUCAGCUCCUGGAUCCUCCCUGUUGCUUCAGGAUUAACGUGCCAUUUCUUCUCUUUGAGAAGGUGAUUUAUGUGCGGUGGCUGUGUUUCCACGCUUCCUCCAUUGUUUCCACUAAAAUAUCUCAAGUGGCCAUUUUAGAUUUGUUUUCUAUAUCACAGCAGAAUCUUUUCAGAUUUUAACGUGUUCAUGGAAUUUACAGUGAAAUAAUUAUUAAGUGUUUGUUGCCAUAAAUCUCAGCAUAGUCUGAGGAGGUCCCAAGUUUGAUGCGGCUUCUUGUGUUCCUUAAUUUGGUUAACAGACAAAGGUAUUGCCUUUACUAAAAUCCCUUUUCACUGGCCAUCAAAAUUUCAAAAUUUCCAACCAUGGAGAAGCUUCAACAUCUCGUAUUUGAUUCAGAUUUUUAUAUACAUUAUUCAUAAUCUUGAGACCAUUCUUGAAUUUCGUUAUCUCGUCUGGGAAAAAACAUAUCAAGGCCAAUGACUUGGAUUUCUCCUAAAGCACUGUAGAAUUUUUUGCAAGUUUGAAUAUAUCAUACCUUCAUAAUUAUUGAAAUAUCAUGAAAGUUAAAAGUUCGUCUGUGAAUUUGUAUUUUUUUAAAUUUUUUUUAAUUAAUAAGCAUUUUAUAUUUAUUUAAACAAUAUAUGUAUCCAAGGAUUGGUUUGACAAGUCAAUUGGAUAACUUCGAGGGUGAUUUUAACCGUGUCGGUGGAAAAAUAGUUUUUUUAUGAAUUUUUUUUUUAAAAAUUUAAAUUAACUCGAAUUAACUUAUUCUUCCAUAUGGUUGUUUGUGUUAACUUUUAGAUUGAAUUUCUGUAUUAAUAAGACAACGAGAAGUUAACAAUUUGAAAAACUUUCCUUGCAGAUAUGAAGGAAAUGAUAUCUUUGACAUUUGGAAAGAUAUGCUUAAGUUAGGUGAUGUGCAGAUUGAGGACUAGUUUUGUAGCUAUAUCAGUGUUUCCAUGCGAACCUACCACACAAAUUUUGCUCAAGCCCAGGCAAUGUGUGCUAGGAGCAUUUCUUGUUCUAGUUAUCUAAGAACAGGUUGCCACCACAUUGGGAUUGUGACUUGACAUGUCAAUGACCACAAGAAGUUCACGAAGCUUUAAUGGAGAUAAGCCAGCAAAGACAAGAGAGGAGACGACAUCAUUUGUAGUGGCCGGAAUUCAUGGAGGAGGGUUACCGACAUUUCACCAGUCCUUUACCUUUUCUACACUUGUACAAGGACAAAUUUUAACCCCUUCUUUUCGUAUCCGGAAUACCUUUUUGCAUGUGUAAUCAGAGAGGUUUUCCCUUCUUUUUAUGUUUUUUUUCUUCUAUAUAGUUGUCAUGUAAUGUUUGGUUAUUCAUAAUGAUAGAAUUCUCCUGUGGAUUCAAGCAAGGUGGUUAAUUUGUAUGCAAUAUAUGGUUAUAAAA
This is a long non-coding RNA of Populus nigra (black poplar), 1590 nucleotides long. RefSeq lists it as uncharacterized. NCBI's taxonomy places the organism in Eukaryota, Viridiplantae, Streptophyta, Magnoliopsida, Malpighiales, Salicaceae. The record is from RefSeq and is a predicted model, not a curated record. The transcript has 3 exons.